UGGGGAAUUUUGGACAAUGGGGGCAACCCUGAUCCAGCAAUGCCGCGUGUGUGAAGAAGGCCUUCGGGUUGUAAAGCACUUUUGUCCGGAAAGAAAACGUCGUGGUUAAUACCCGUGGCGGCUGACGGUACCGGAAGAAUAAGCACCGGCUAACUACGUGCCAGCAGCCGCGGUAAUACGUAGGGUGCAAGCGUUAAUCGGAAUUACUGGGCGUAAAGCGUGCGCAGGCGGUCCGCUAAGACAGAUGUGAAAUCCCCGGGCUUAACCUGGGAACUGCAUUUGUGACUGGCGGGCUAGAGUAUGGCAGAGGGGGGUAGAAUUCCACGUGUAGCAGUGAAAUGCGUAGAGAUGUGGAGGAAUACCGAUGGCGAAGGCAGCCCCUGGGCCAAUACUACGCUCAUGCACGAAAGCGUGGGGAGCAAACAGAUUAGAUACCCUGGUAGUCCACGCCCUAAACGAUGUCAACUAGUUGUCGGGUCUUCA
RNAcentral lists this ribosomal RNA (483 nucleotides) under uncultured bacterium. RNAcentral describes it as "partial 16S ribosomal RNA". It matches the Rfam family "Bacterial small subunit ribosomal RNA", at positions 355 to 833 of the family's 1533-position model. The record is from RNAcentral.